GACGAACGCUGGCGGCGUGCCUAAUACAUGCAAGUAAAACGCACAGUUUAUACCGUAGCUUGCUACACCAUAGACUGUGAGUUGCGAACGGGUGAGUAACGCGUAGGUAACCUGCCUGGUAGCGGGGGAUAACUAUUGGAAACGAUAGCUAAUACCGCAUAAUAUUGAUUAUUGCAUGAUAAUUGAUUGAAAGAUGCUAUUGCAUCACUACCAGAUGGACCUGCGUUGUAUUAGCUAGUAGGUGAGGUAACGGCUCACCUAGGCGACGAUACAUAGCCGACCUGAGAGGGUGAUCGGCCACACUGGGACUGAGACACGGCCCAGACUCCUACGGGAGGCAGCAGUAGGGAAUCUUCGGCAAUGGACGAAAGUCUGACCGAGCAACGCCGCGUGAGUGAAGAAGGUUUUCGGAUCGUAAAGCUCUGUUGUAAGAGAAGAACGGGUGUGAGAGUGGAAAGUUCACACUGUGACGGUAUCUUACCAGAAAGGGACGGCUAACUACGUG
RNAcentral lists this ribosomal RNA (505 nucleotides) under uncultured bacterium. RNAcentral's name for it is "partial 16S ribosomal RNA". It matches the Rfam family "Bacterial small subunit ribosomal RNA", at positions 28 to 507 of the family's 1533-position model. The record is from RNAcentral.